Molecule: ribosomal RNA, 105 nt
Filed under: Acanthosepion pharaonis
Lineage: Eukaryota; Metazoa; Mollusca; Cephalopoda; Sepiida; Sepiidae
Source: RNAcentral
AAUCACGCUGAAACACCGGUUCUCGUACGAUCACCGAAGUUAAGCAUCGUAGAGCCAGGUCAGUACUUAGAUGGGGGACCGCUUGGGAACACCUGGUACUGUAAG